Non-coding RNA from Manis javanica (Malayan pangolin), 302 nucleotides. Lineage: Eukaryota; Metazoa; Chordata; Mammalia; Pholidota; Manidae. The record is from RefSeq and is a predicted model, not a curated record.
ACUGGGUCCAGCGACGGAUUCGUUCCGACCAGUUCCAGUUUAGAAACUGGAGCAGGUCUGGGGGCAGACUGGAUCCAAUUUAAACUGGACUGGGUUCAGUGUGACGCCUCAGCUCCUCGUGAUCAGGAUGAGACCCGCGGGGACACCCCACUUGCUCCAGUGCACCUGCAGACAACAUCUUGGGAAAACUGGUAGAAACCUUAAAAGAUGGAUUCCUACUGUGCCUUCUCAGCAGCUUUCUUCUGCUUCAUUUCCCAAACAAUUCUGCAGAAUUGGUAUGUAGGCAAUAAAGUCAAUUGGUC